GGGCGAUUAGCUCAGCUGGUUAGAGCACUAGCUCGACAAGCUAGGGGUCACUGGUUCGAAUCCAGUAUCGCCCACCA
This 77-nucleotide transfer RNA is filed under the name Planctomycetota bacterium. RNAcentral's name for it is "Planctomycetes bacterium tRNA-Val". It matches the Rfam family "tRNA". Rfam says of the family: Transfer RNA (tRNA) molecules are approximately 80 nucleotides in length. Their secondary structure includes four short double-helical elements and three loops (D, anti-codon, and T loops). Further hydrogen bonds mediate the characteristic L-shaped molecular structure. tRNAs have two regions of fundamental functional importance: the anti-codon, which is responsible for specific mRNA codon recognition, and the 3' end, to which the tRNAs corresponding amino acid is attached (by aminoacyl-tRNA synthetases). tRNAs cope with the degeneracy of the genetic code in two manners: having more than one tRNA (with a specific anti-codon) for a particular amino acid; and 'wobble' base-pairing, i.e. permitting non-standard base-pairing at the 3rd anti-codon position. The record is from RNAcentral. Lineage: Bacteria; Pseudomonadati; Planctomycetota.